GACUUCCCAUGGGCAGGGUGGAGUGCUGGGAGCAUUGAUUCAAUUCUUCCCUUGAGCACUCUUCACCCCCAUCUCUCUCCAGAAAUGUACCGAGAGUCUAACUGCUCUAUACUCUGGGAGGAACACGAACAUGAUUCCACCUCAGUUCCAAGCUUUCUGAGAACCAUCCUGGGAACCAGCAAGCAUGACAACUCUCCACCUUCUGCAUCAGUCACUUGCAAGGAGGCCAGUGGGCACAGUUCAUGCUACUGAGUGAGAUGGCGCCCAGAGGCCAAGGCCAAGGGCAGGGCUGCAUUUUCUGGUUCUUUUAUAUUUGUAGCAAGAUACUCUUAGUGGAAGAGCCCAAUAUCUGGGCUUGCCUAAAAGUCUCCUUAGCUAGAUCAUUCAAUUUAUGAGCUUUCCAUCUUGUUGCAGUGUUGCUUAAUUUCUGCCUCUCCAUAACAAGAAUCACCUUUCUUCCAGUCUCUAAUGCAUUGUUCUCACUUUCCUAUAAACCCUCACCAACAUUCUCCUCCCACUACUGGCUUCUCCAGUGCCCUUUAGGCUUUCUCUGACACUUUCUUCAAAGUCCUUUCAGCUUCUGCCCUCUGCUCAGUUCCAAAGACGCUCCCACAUUGGUAGGUUUAUGUUCCAUCAGCACCCCACUUCUGGUACUAAGCUUUAUAUCAGCUAUCUACUGUUAGGCAACAGCCAAAACUUAGUGACUUAAAACAGACACAAACAUAUAUUAUCUUUCACAGUCUCUGUGAGUCGGGAAUUCAGGAACAGCUUAGCUGGGUGUUCUGGCUCCAGGUCUCUCAUGAGGUUGCAGUCUAGAUAUGAGCUGGGACAGUGGUCAUCUGAAGGCUGGAAUGAGGCUGGAGGAUCCACUUCCAAGGUGGCUGACUCAGAUGGUUGGCAAGUUGGUGCCGGCUGCGGCAAAGGCCUUGUUUUCUCUCCAGGUGGACCUCUCCACAAGGCUACUUGAGCAGCCUCACAACAUGGUAGCUGCUUCCCCAGGGCAAGUGAUCCAAGAGCAAAGGUUGAAGUCACAAUGCCCUUAUGACUUAGCCUUGGAUGUGACACACCAUCACUUCUGCAGUAUUCUACUGGUAACACUGACCAGCUCUGAUUCAGUUUGAGAAAAGAGGACACAAAAGCAUGAAUAACAGGAGGAUGGAUAUAGAAUACCAGCAUCAGCAAGUGUACACGAUUUAAAGCACAUUUGGUAUCUAUUACCAAGCUGCCCUUCAGAGAGGUUGUCUCGUUACACAUUCCACAGCUGUGACUGAGAAACCGUCUUGUCGCAUUUGACAAUCCAGGUUACUAUCUAAAAACUUGAGUUUGUAAGAGCAACACGCCAUGAGAUAAUAUUCGUGCAAAUGUAACUGACAAAAGACUAACAUCCCAUAAUACUAGAGCACCUACAAACCAAGAAGAUAAACAUCCCAUUGGGAAAGUGUAAAAAUAUGAACAUAAAGUUUACAGAAGAAAAAACACAAAUGGCUCAUAAACACACAAAAAGAUGAUAUUGCUUCCUGGUAAUUGGGGAAAUGCAAACAAAAACUACAAUGAAAUAUCGUGGUAUCGUGUAUCAAAUUUGCAGAGCAUAAAAUAGAUUACAUUCGCAACCAGCAACUACAACCCAACCUUCAGCCUCACUGGACUUCUUGCCAUUCCCCAAACCAUAUCCACGCCCCUCUCCACAGGCUGUUCCUUCUGCCUGCAUGCCCUCGAUGGCACCAAGGGGGAUGGGCACACUAACACAACUGCUGGGAAUGGGAAAGUUUCAACCUCUUGGGAAUAAAAUCUAACAGUAUU
Homo sapiens (human) is the source of this 1800-nucleotide long non-coding RNA. Ensembl annotates it as long intergenic non-protein coding RNA 2995. Lineage: Eukaryota; Metazoa; Chordata; Mammalia; Primates; Hominidae. The record is from Ensembl.